RNAcentral lists this long non-coding RNA (255 nucleotides) under Lathyrus oleraceus (garden pea). Its description in RNAcentral is "Pisum sativum (pea) long non-coding RNA (PSAT_LNC029203)". Lineage: Eukaryota; Viridiplantae; Streptophyta; Magnoliopsida; Fabales; Fabaceae. The record is from RNAcentral.
AAAUAUAGAUUCUUUUCCCCCAAAGGCUAAAACUAUCUAAGAACUUUCCUCUUCUUCUCCUCUUCUUCCUCUUUUUCCUUUCCUCUUUCUUUCUCUUUCUUCUUUUCUUUCUUUCUGAUAACUCUUUCUCUCUUUCUACCUACUCUUCUUAUACUUUUCUUCUUCUUUCAAUCUCUACCACACAAUAUAUAUAUAAUAUAUAUAAUAUCAAGUAAUAAUAAAAAUAUCUCAAUUGAUAUUUCAUCUUCCAGCACC